Molecule: ribosomal RNA, 561 nt
Filed under: uncultured bacterium
Lineage: Bacteria
Description: bacterial SSU rRNA
Rfam family: Bacterial small subunit ribosomal RNA
Source: RNAcentral
AAUAGAUACCCUGGUAGUCCCAGCCGUAAACGAUGGACACUAGGUGUCGGGGGUAUCGACCCCCCGGUGCCGCAGCUAACGCACUAAGUGUCCCGCCUGGGGAGUACGGCCGCAAGGCUGAAACUCAAAGGAAUUGACGGGGGCCCGCACAAGCGGUGGAGCAUGUUGUUUAAUACGUCACUAACCGUAGAACCUUACCAGGGCUUGACAUCCGUCGCUACCCGGUGAAAGCCGGGGUUCCCCGCAAGGGGACGGCGAGACAGGUGUUGCAUGGCUGUCGUCAGCUCGUGUCGUGAGAUGUUGGGUUAAGUCCCGCAACGAGCGCAACCCCCACCCCAUGUUGCCAGCGGAUCAGGCCGGGCACUCUUGGGGAACUGCCCGGGUAACCGGGAGGAAGGUGGGGACGACGUCAAGUCAGCAUGGCCCUUAUGCCUUGGGCUACACACGUGCUACAAUGGCCGGGACAGAAGGAUGCAAAACCGGCGAGGUGGAGCCAAUCCCCAAAACCCGGGUCACAGUUCAGAUUGCAGUCUGCAACUCGACCGCAUGAAGUCGGAAUCG